UACGUAGGGGGCGAGCGUUGUCCGGAUUUAUUGGGCGUAAAGAGCUCGUAGGCGGCUCUUCGCGUCGGAUGUGAAAGCUCAAAGCUCAACUUUGAGAGGCCAUUCGAUACGGAAGAGCUAGAGGCAGGUAGGGGAGAGCGGAAUUCCUGGUGUAGCGGUGAAAUGCGUAGAUAUCGGAAGGAACACCAGUGGCGAAAGCGGCUUCCUGGUCCAGCACCGACGUUCAGGCACGAAAGCGUGGGGAGCAAACAGG
This 253-nucleotide ribosomal RNA is filed under the name uncultured bacterium. Its description in RNAcentral is "partial 16S ribosomal RNA". It matches the Rfam family "Bacterial small subunit ribosomal RNA", at positions 524 to 776 of the family's 1533-position model. The record is from RNAcentral.